UAAGGAAUAUUGGUCAAUGGACGCAAGUCUGAACCAGCCAUGCCGCGUGAAGGAUUAAGGCCCUCUGGGUUGUAAACUUCUUUUAUAGGGGAAGAAAUGUGACGGUUCUCCGUCACUUGACGGUACCCUGGGAAUAAGCACCGGCUAACUCCGUGCCAGCAGCCGCGGUAAUACGGAGGGUGCAAGCGUUAUCCGGAUUCACUGGGUUUAAAGGGUGCGUAGGUGGGCAGAUAAGUCAGUGGUGAAAUCCUGUCGCUUAACGAUAGAACUGCCAUUGAUACUGUAAGUCUUGAGUAUAUUUGAGGUAGCUGGAAUAAGUAGUGUAGCGGUGAAAUGCAUAGAUAUUACUUAGAACACCAAUUGCGAAGGCAGGUUACCAAGAUAUAACUGACGCUGAGGGACGAAAGCGUGGGGAGCGAACA
This 422-nucleotide ribosomal RNA is filed under the name uncultured bacterium. Its description in RNAcentral is "bacterial SSU rRNA". It matches the Rfam family "Bacterial small subunit ribosomal RNA", at positions 355 to 774 of the family's 1533-position model. The record is from RNAcentral.